This 1329-nucleotide ribosomal RNA is filed under the name Campylobacter coli. RNAcentral's name for it is "bacterial SSU rRNA". It matches the Rfam family "Bacterial small subunit ribosomal RNA", at positions 183 to 1533 of the family's 1533-position model. Lineage: Bacteria; Pseudomonadati; Campylobacterota; Epsilonproteobacteria; Campylobacterales; Campylobacteraceae. The record is from RNAcentral.
UUAACACAAGUUGAGUAGGGAAAGUUUUUCGGUGUAGGAUGAGACUAUAUAGUAUCAGCUAGUUGGUAAGGUAAUGGCUUACCAAGGCUAUGACGCUUAACUGGUCUGAGAGGAUGAUCAGUCACACUGGAACUGAGACACGGUCCAGACUCCUACGGGAGGCAGCAGUAGGGAAUAUUGCGCAAUGGGGGAAACCCUGACGCAGCAACGCCGCGUGGAGGAUGACACUUUUCGGAGCGUAAACUCCUUUUCUUAGGGAAGAAUUCUGACGGUACCUAAGGAAUAAGCACCGGCUAACUCCGUGCCAGCAGCCGCGGUAAUACGGAGGGUGCAAGCGUUACUCGGAAUCACUGGGCGUAAAGGGCGCGUAGGCGGAUUAUCAAGUCUCUUGUGAAAUCUAAUGGCUUAACCAUUAAACUGCUUGGGAAACUGAUAGUCUAGAGUGAGGGAGAGGCAGAUGGAAUUGGUGGUGUAGGGGUAAAAUCCGUAGAUAUCACCAAGAAUACCCAUUGCGAAGGCGAUCUGCUGGAACUCAACUGACGCUAAGGCGCGAAAGCGUGGGGAGCAAACAGGAUUAGAUACCCUGGUAGUCCACGCCCUAAACGAUGUACACUAGUUGUUGGGGUGCUAGUCAUCUCAGUAAUGCAGCUAACGCAUUAAGUGUACCGCCUGGGGAGUACGGUCGCAAGAUUAAAACUCAAAGGAAUAGACGGGGACCCGCACAAGCGGUGGAGCAUGUGGUUUAAUUCGAAGAUACGCGAAGAACCUUACCUGGGCUUGAUAUCCUAAGAACCUUUUAGAGAUAAGAGGGUGCUAGCUUGCUAGAACUUAGAGACAGGUGCUGCACGGCUGUCGUCAGCUCGUGUCGUGAGAUGUUGGGUUAAGUCCCGCAACGAGCGCAACCCACGUAUUUAGUUGCUAACGGUUCGGCCGAGCACUCUAAAUAGACUGCCUUCGUAAGGAGGAGGAAGGUGUGGACGACGUCAAGUCAUCAUGGCCCUUAUGCCCAGGGCGACACACGUGCUACAAUGGCAUAUACAAUGAGACGCAAUACCGCGAGGUGGAGCAAAUCUAUAAAAUAUGUCCCAGUUCGGAUUGUUCUCUGCAACUCGAGAGCAUGAAGCCGGAAUCGCUAGUAAUCGUAGAUCAGCCAUGCUACGGUGAAUACGUUCCCGGGUCUUGUACUCACCGCCCGUCACACCAUGGGAGUUGAUUUCACUCGAAGCCGGAAUACUAAACUAGUUACCGUCCACAGUGGAAUCAGCGACUGGGGUGAAGUCGUAACAAGGUAACCGUAGGAGAACCUGCGGUUGGAUCACCUCCUUUCUA